This 255-nucleotide ribosomal RNA is filed under the name uncultured bacterium. RNAcentral describes it as "partial 16S ribosomal RNA". It matches the Rfam family "Bacterial small subunit ribosomal RNA", at positions 524 to 775 of the family's 1533-position model. The record is from RNAcentral.
UACGUAGGGUGCAAGCGUUAAUCGGAAUUACUGGGCGUAAAGCGUGCGCAGGCGGUUUUGUAAGUCUGUCGUGAAAUCCCCCGGGCUCAACCCUGGGAAUGGCGAUGGAGACUGCAAGGCUAGAGUUUGGCAGAGGGGGGUAGAAUUCCACGUGUAGCAGUGAAAUGCGUAGAUAUGAUGGAGGAACACCGAUGGCGAAGGCAGCCCCCUGGGUCAAAACUGACGCUCAUGCACGAAAGCGUGGGGAGCAAACAG